Molecule: long non-coding RNA, 250 nt
Organism: Myotis brandtii (Brandt's bat)
Lineage: Eukaryota; Metazoa; Chordata; Mammalia; Chiroptera; Vespertilionidae
Exons: 2
Source: RefSeq, a predicted model, not a curated record
UCACUCAAGUGAAUCCCAUGGUGCCACCCUCUAUCCUUCCAGGUGAUUUCUCGGCUACAUCCAUUUGCUCAUUGUCUGCCUUGUCCAGGGUCCUUUAACCCCAUUCUGACAUUCUUAACUCUGAUGCCUCCACCUCCCCCACUCAGGCGCUCAUCUGCUCAUGCUUCGCCUCUCUGCCCAGCUCUCCUCUCUGCCCCUUCCACCCAGUGAUUCUCACCCGAGGGUGCAUGACCCCCAAGGAGGCCUAUCA